ACAUCGGCGCGUCUACCUGCAGUCGACGGUCUCUUCGGAGAUAGUGGCGGACAGGUGAGUAACGCGUGAGAAUCUACCUUUAGGUUCGGGACAACAGUUGGAAACGACUGCUAAUACCGAAUGUGUCUCAAGAUGAAAGAUUAAUUGCCUGAAGUUGAGCUCGCGUCCGAUUAACUAGUUGGUGUGGUAAGAGCGCACCAAGGCGACGAUCGGUAGCUGGUCUGACAGGAUGAUCAGCCACACUGGGACUGAGACACGGCCCAGACUCCUACCGGAGGCAGCAAUGGGGAAUUUUCCGCAAUGGGCGAAAGCCUGACGGAACAACGCCGCGUGAGGGAGGAAGGCUCUUGGGUUGUAAACCUCUUUUAUCAAGGAAGAUAAUGACGGUACUUGAUGAAUCAGCAUCGGCUAACUCCGUGCCAGCAGCCGCGGUAAUACCGAGGAUGCAAGCGUUAUCCGGAAUAAUUGGGCGUAAAGCGUUCGUAGGUGGUUAUGUAAGUCUGCUGUUAAAGCGUGUAGCUCAACUACAUAUAGGCAGUGGAAACUACAUGACUAGAGUGCGUUCGGGGCAGACGGAAUUCCUGGUGUAGCGGUGAAAUGCCUAGAUAUCAGGAAGAACACCGGUGGCUAAUGCGCUCUGCUAGGCCGCAACUGACACUGAGGGACGAAAGCUAGGGGAGCGAAUGGGAUUAGAUACCCCAUUACUCCUAGCUGUAAACGAUGGAUACUAGGCGUUGUCUGUAUCGACCCGGACAGUGCCGUAGCUAACACGUUAAGUAUCCCGUCUGGGGAGUACGCACGCAAGUGUGAAACUCAAAGGAAUUGACGGGGGCCCGCACAAGCGGUGGAGUAUGUGGUUUAAUUCGAUGCAACGCGAAGAACCUUACCAAGGCUUGACAUGUCCGGAAUUUCUUGGAAACGAGAAAGUGCCUUCGGGAACCGGAACACAGGUGGUGCAUGGCUGUCGUCAGCUCGUGUCGUGAGAUGUUGGGUUAAGUCCCGCAACGAGCGCAACCCUCGUUUUUAGUUGCCAGCACUUAGGGUGGGCACUGUAGAGAGACUGCCGGUGACAAACCGGAGGAAGGUGGGGAUGACGUCAAGUCAUCAUGCCCCUUCCGUCUUGGGCUACACACGUAUUCCAAUGCUAUGGACAAAGAGCAGCCAACCAGCGAUGGUGCGCUAAUCUCAUAAACCAUGGAUCAGUUCAGAUCGCAGGCUGCAACUUGCCUGCGUGAAGUAGGAAUCGCUAGUAAUUGCAGGUCAGCAUACUGCAGUGAAUUCGUUCCCGGGCCUUGUACACACCGCCCGUCACACCAUGGAAGUUGCUCAUGCCCGAAGUCGUUACCAUAACCGUUCGCGGAGGGGAUGCCGAAGGGGACUGUAUUGGA
RNAcentral lists this ribosomal RNA (1388 nucleotides) under Calothrix contarenii SABC022701. Its description in RNAcentral is "bacterial SSU rRNA". It matches the Rfam family "Bacterial small subunit ribosomal RNA". Lineage: Bacteria; Bacillati; Cyanobacteriota; Cyanophyceae; Nostocales; Calotrichaceae. The record is from RNAcentral.